AUAAAGUUUAAUUUUAGUUUAAUGAUUUAUUUAAUUUUUUUUUUACAUGUAAAUUUUAGUGGGAUUAUAAUAAUAAUUUAAAUAAUUAAUAUUAAAAAUUUUAUUCGCAGUAUUAAGUUUUAUUAAUUUAAGAAAUUAAGAAUUAUAAAUAAAUUUUAAUAUUAACAAAAUUUGUGCCAGCAGUUGCGGUUAUACAAAAAAUGUAAAUAAAUUUUAUUAGUAAAUAAUAAAAUGAAUUUAAUUUAAUAAAAAUAAAAUUUAUAAAGUGAAAUUUAAAAUUUUUAAUAGUUAUUAUUAAAAUUAUUGAUAUUAUGAAAUUUAUAUAGUAAACUAGGAUUAGAUACCCUAUUAUUAUAAAUGUUAAUUUUUACUAAAGUAGUAUUAGUUAUGAUCUUGAAAUUUAAAAAUUUUGGCGGUAUUUUAGUCUAUUCAGAGGAACCUGUUCUAUAAUUGAUAGUCCACGAUAAAUUAUACUUUAUUUAAUAGUUUAUAUAUCGUCGUUAUUAAAUAUUUUAUUAGAAUUAUAAUAUUUAAGAUUUUUAAUUUGAAAAUAUAUCAGAUCAAGGUGUAGUUUAUAAUAAAGAAGAAAUGGGUUACAAUAAAUUUAUUUAUGGAUUUUUAUAUAAAAAUGUAGAAUGAAAUUGGAUUUGAUAGUAAUAAAUUUUAUAUAAAAUUUAUGAUUAAAGCUCUAAAAUGUGUACAUAUCGCCCGUCACUCUUAUUAUAAGAUAAGAUAAGUCGUAACAUAGUAGAUGUACUGGAAAGUGUAUCUAGAAUGA
Molecule: non-coding RNA, 778 nt
Filed under: Hydroporus sp. IBE<ESP> AN585
Lineage: Eukaryota; Metazoa; Arthropoda; Insecta; Coleoptera; Dytiscidae
Source: RNAcentral